GAAUUGCUAGUAAUCGUAGAUCAGCAUGCUACGGUGAAUACGUUCCCGGGCCUUGUACACACCGCCCGUCAAACCAUGAGAGUUGGCAACACCCGAAGCCUGUAGCUUAACCGCAAGGACGGCGCAGUCGAAGGUGGGGUCGAUGAUUAGGGUUAAGUCGUAACAAGGUAGC
This 172-nucleotide ribosomal RNA is filed under the name uncultured bacterium. RNAcentral's name for it is "partial 16S ribosomal RNA". It matches the Rfam family "Bacterial small subunit ribosomal RNA", at positions 1329 to 1500 of the family's 1533-position model. The record is from RNAcentral.